UAAAGACGAAGACAAGGCCUGGCACCAUUCACUCCCUGGAGCUGAAAUAUUAACACCAUCAAGAUAAAGUUCUCGAAGCUCUUUAAGGUUCUGAACAAGCGUUUUCAGAUUCGGAUUCUCGAGUUUCUUUGGCUGAGACAAAUGGCGAAAAGUGGACAGAUCAAGAGUAACCAACCUUGUCAUCCUCGAAACCUCAAUUGGAAUCUGUCCAACAAAACCUGCAUUUGAUAAGUUCAAGUACGUCAAAUUCGCAAGAUUAUAAAUCCCCUUCGGAAUCUGAAUGUCAUACAAUCUGUUGUAAGCCAAAUUCAGCUUCUCAAGAUACUGGAAACCAAGAAGACUAGUUGAAUUCUCAAUCCCACCCGAAAUCGAUUCUUGAUCCAGCUCCAAACUGAUCACAUGCCCUGAACUAUCGCAGGCAAUCCCCUUCCAGGUGCAACAAUCCUCCGACCGAUUCCAUGUCACCAGUUUGACAGAAAGUGUCGGGUCGAAGAUGAUGCUGUUCUUGAAUUGAAUCAAUAAUGACCGUUGAUCAUCGAGACAUUGUCCAGAAACCAGUUUAGUUGUCAAGGAAGAAUUUAACUUAAAGUCAUCUUUCAUUUUAUGUAACAAGACUUUCUGAUCCUCCAGGAAUUGGCUGUGUACAGGAGCCAAAUUGGGAUUGCCGAAACUAAAGAAUACAGAGAUCAAGAAAAACAAUGGUGAGAAUAGAAUUCUCAUUUUGAUUCAGAUGUGAAUACUGAAGGUGCUAGUGAAGUUGUAGUGAGGAUCUCCUCUGUAUGGGUGGCUUUAAAUUAUAUGGCCAAGUGGAUUGACCAGUUGACCUGGGGCCUAUAGACGUGUUCUACAAGUUUGAAAUUGGCAUAGGAGAGAGACUUCACUGAAAGGUUUUGAAAAUCAAUGCUCUAUAAAUUUGGAAUUGGCGAGCGGACUUGGGGUCUAUAGAUGUGUUUCAUAAGUUUUGAAAUAGUGAUUUAAUGAGGAAUAUGUGAGUUUAAAAGUAAAAAAAAAAAGUUUAAGUUUACGUACGAAAUAUUUCAUUGUGAGAAUACAUAAUUGAAAAUGAGUUUGAGGAUAAACAAACAAGUUUUAUUUUAAUGGUUGCCAAACAGAGGGCAAAAGCAUGUAUUUUAAAUUUGAUUAUUAUUAAUCACGUCAUUAAAAUUUAUUUUCAGAAAUCAGGUGCUAAUUGGGUUUUUGAAAACAUAAAAUAUAUAUUCUAAUAUUUAUGAAAUUAAAUUAUCGAAAGUAGAGUAAUUAACCCUUAAAUUAAAAGUAACUAAAUAAGGAUAAAUAUUACCCUUGCCCUCUACGUCCUCAGGCCCAAUUGUAAAUAUCACAGCUGAACUCUCUCUCUCUCUCUCUCUCUCUCUCUCUCCACAGAUUAUUUUCUCUCUUUAUCUAUUUACAAAUACAAAACUUUCGGCCAAAUUCGAGGUCGUUGACUCCACCCCAUAAAUUUUUGGAAGACUUCAUUAUUGUGGAGAAUUGGAAGUAGAAAGAAGUAAUUAGUAUUCAGUUGAAGGGAACUUCAAAUCAUAAAGAAUACUAAUUUAUUGAAUUCGAUUGUAGGUUACGUUGCUCAAUUAGUAACAGAAUUCAAUUUAAAUUUAUCAUAAAAUUUUAUUAGGUAUUGAGUUCAAAUUUCAUAAGAACACAAUAGAAAUCCGUGAAACAUAAAAUUAACUCAUACUUUCUCCAAGCAGAUAGUACGUAUGAGUUAACGAUUUAAACACAUGUCCAGAUCAUUACAAAUUUGGGGCCAAAAUGUACACGAGAAUAACAACUAAAUUAGAAAGGAAAUAUCAACUUAGGGUGGAGAAAAAGAUCUCAUCUUCCAUAACAAAAUGAAUGAACAUCCGCAUUUAUUUUGCUUUUCAAAUGAUGCAAUCAAGAUCCUUAAGAAUAUAAAAGUACACUUAUGAGACAUGAAGUUAAAAUUGAUGCAGCUCCUUCAUUUUGAUAUCCGUAUCCAAUCUGUUGCACUUUCCUUGAUGCCAUAUUUACUGGUAAAUACACUAUAUUUCACCUCAUCAAGGCUGUAUUCAGAAGGUGUCUGAUUGUUAAUUUCCCGUUUAUGUCGUCGUACAAUGUCCCAAGGAACUAUCAUUAUCGCUGGCAGUCUGACUGACACUAUCAAUGGAAUGAAUAUAAUUACAGCACCAAGCAAUGAGGGUCUGUCACACGCUGUAGCUACAUAGCUGAACGAAAAGAUUCCGAGAGGAAAGUAGAGAAAUAAAAAGAGUGGAUUAAAAGUGAGUGGAACAUACGUUCCAAUUGCCAUACCAAAGGCCAAUUAUUCUCAAUACAACAUAAAAAUCCAGACCCACAUUUACAUACCAAACCAACCCGGCUUAACACUGAGUUUGCGUGUUGACUCGUGCUUCUAAAGUUGAAGUCUCCCUAAUUGUCUUCACUUUCGGGUCUUCUCCCACAAUCAAUUGCCUCGAUGAAUUAAAGGAGUCAUCGAUCUUGAUCUCUUGUCCCCAAUGACUUGAAUAAAAUUUUUCUACCGUUGUCAUGAUGACAAAAGAACCUUAAUUAUGAUUUUUUGAAUUUAUGAUCGUUUACUUGAGCAGUGAAAACAUUUAAUCUUGCUCAAUGGGAACAUGAGAUCAAUUCUAAAGAAGUUAUUCUACAUAAAUCAUGACUUGACGUUUUAUUUUCAAAAUGUAUUGCUACGUUGAAUAUAUAAUACAAGUAAAUAAAUUUGUGUCUUAGAUUCAAUAAGGUAUUUAGGCUAGCUAAAUGCUUUGCCUUCUAAUAUGUUCUACUGAUUGGAGUCUAUAAGUCUACGAAGAGUCCAUUUGAUACAACUUUUGCUUUUGCUUUUACAUUUACUUUUAUUUCUUAUAGAAAAGUUAGAUUCCUCAAAAACUCUUUUAAGUCAGACAAAGUAUUUUUAGAAAAUUAUCCUAACUUAUUCAAAAGUAGUUUCUCAGUCGUAGAAAUAGUUUUUAAAUUUUCAAAAAUCUUGUCAAACGAACCCUAAGCUAUCUUGACUGCGUAAAUCUUCCUUCUCUUUACCUCUACUUGUUGGUAUACAUAUAUUAUGAGAACGCAAACAAAAUUUAUCAAAUUGGAACAUUAUGUUGUUCGUUUUGCUCUCUUCUUGUAUAUUGUCACUCAACCACUAACAAUAUGUUUGGCACCAGUGGUACAUGCAGACAUUUUGAAUUAGAGGAACGCUAUUUGUUCGGGGUUGGAGAUGAGGAAUGAAAUCCGACUCAAUUUGCAAGCUGUAUUGAGUUUAAAUAAUAAAUAAAAUUAUUUAAUUAUCGAGUAAAAUAAUUUACACAAUUUAAUUGGAUAAGAUAAUACAGCCAAACUACUUAUAUUAAUUUACUUAGGCAAGCACCUUGGCCAACCACAAAAAUACACUCACGCCCCCACCUAUAUUUUCUCCACUCAUUCUAUCUCACAUACCUUGUCCUUGUGUCUCUCUGUAUCUUCCCUUUCACAAACUCUGUCUUCCAUACAUACGCUACAUACAUCAACUAUAUUUGUAGAUAACAAUAUCGGUUGGCUGCACUUCUAAAAGGUUCUCAUGUGGUGAUUGAUUAAGAACAGUAAACUUCUGGAUAAUUUCAUUAUGACUGUAUUUUUUAUGAAAUUGGAUUCUUCUUUCUUCUUCUAGACUUGGAUGCAUCUGUAUAAAUUUAUUUUCUUUACAAUCUUCUAUGGAUGUUGGUAAAUAUAGCUGCCAUUUUAGGACAUUCUCUUCAUCUGAAAUCUGGAAUAUGAUGAACAAUUUUGUGUUUAAUCAGUUAGUCUUCUUCAGGCUGGGGGGUUAUAACUUAUGCAGCAGAGUUUUCCAAGGUUUCUUCAAAUUGAUUUUGCUGAAGUUUUGCAACAGGAGUGUCUCUGUCUGCCUCUAAAUGCCUAAAUGCUAAAUCUGAUUUUGUGAUUCAAAAAAUAAAAAGCUUAAAAGUCGUUGGGUCAUGUUACCCACCAGGACCUACUGUAGGUCCGCCAGUGUUUAGCACUAUAUUGAACUGAAAUGAAUUUAACAGAUAACAGAUAACAAGAUAAAGUUCUCCAUUUAAGGUUCUGAACAAGCGUUUUCAGAUUGGGAUUCUCAAGUUUCAUUGGCUGAGUUCCAAAGGAAAUAGUGGACAGAUCAAGAGUAACCAACCUUGUCAUCCUCGAAACCUCAAUUGGAAUCUGUCCAACAAAACCUGCAUUUGAUAAGUUCAAUUAUGUCAAAUUCGCAAGAUUAUAAAACCCCUUCGGAAUCUGAAUGUUAUACAAUCCGUUGUAAGCCAAAUUCAGCUUCUCAAGGUAACCAAGAAGACUAGUUGAAUUCUCAAUUCCAAUUCGUGAUCCAGUUCCAAACUUAUCACAUGCCCUGAACUCUCGCAAGCAAUCCCCUUCCAGGUGCAACAAUCCUCCGACCGAUUCCAGGUCACGAGUUUGACAGAAAUUGUCGGGUCGAAUAUGAUACUGUUCUUGAAUUGAAUCAAGAAUGACCGUUGAUCAUUAAGUCAUUGUCCAGAAACCAGUUUAGUUGACAAGGAAGAAUCUAACAUAAAGUUAUCUUUCAUUUUAUGUAACAAGACUAUAUGAUCCUCCAGGAAUUGGUUAUACACAGGAGCCAAAUUAGGGUUGCGGAAAUUAAAGAAUAUAGAGAUCAAGAAAAACAAUGGUGAGAAAAGAAUUCUCAUUUUGACACAGUUGUGAAUACUGAAGGUGCAAGCGAAG
This 4701-nucleotide long non-coding RNA is filed under the name Olea europaea (common olive). RNAcentral describes it as "long non-coding RNA (OEUR_LNC015531)". Lineage: Eukaryota; Viridiplantae; Streptophyta; Magnoliopsida; Lamiales; Oleaceae. The record is from RNAcentral.